Molecule: long non-coding RNA, 1503 nt
Filed under: Equus asinus (donkey)
Lineage: Eukaryota; Metazoa; Chordata; Mammalia; Perissodactyla; Equidae
Description: lncRNA (ENSEASG00005009480.2)
Source: RNAcentral
GAGCGAGCCAGAAGGGAGCAUGGUCCCCGCGCCGCGGCCGCGCCAGCCCCCGCGCCGCCGCUGCCGUCCCCGCCGCCGCGGAUCUAGCUGCAGCUCCAGCCCCGGCCCCUGCUCCGCAGUGCCCGCCCGCAGCCCCGGCGGCCGCCGCGCCUGAGCGCAGCCCCCGCCCGGAGCCCGAGCCCGGAGCCCGGAGCCAGCCUAGCCCCGCGGCCGCCGCGGCUGCGGGGAGAGGGCGGGGGCGAUGCUGCCGGAGCCGCAGCCGCCGCCGCCGCCUCGGUGAGAGCCGCGCCGCGCCGCGCAUAGCCGCACAGGCUGACAGGCAGAAGGACUGACUUCCCUCUCCCGGGCAUCCUCCCUGGGCUGCCGGGAGGCGGCGGCGGAGGAGGAGGAGGAGAAGGAAAAGGAGGAGACGGCGGAGAGCAGAAACGUGAGGAGGUGGACCUGGAUCCGUUUCUCCCGGCCAGGACCCGAGCGGCCCCAGCUACCACUACCCGCCGGCGCCGUCCCCUAUCCAUCAGCCCUCCUGCGCCCACCCGCGACCCCCGGCUCUCUGCGCGUUGGGCCAGGUCCAGAGCGGCGCGGCCGGAGCAUUAGGCGAGACCUCGGCGCUGGAGGGAUCGGACCGUGGAGGACGCCGAGCUGCUGCUGCCCGCGAAACUUGCACUUCGUCAGCCCAGGGACAGUCAUGCUCCGCUGCUGCAGGCUCCUGCCCCUCAUCAGCCGAGCUGCGCUGGGAUUCGGACUCCUCUUGCAGCGACAGAUCUGUCCUGGUUACAGCUGUAUUUACCCUAAUUUCAGUCUCUUUAAAGUCAUCUGUUAGUCACGACAGAGUUCCUUCCCUUGCCGUGUGGUCUUAUCUCUAACUCAGCCCUGGGAGGGCAGAUUUAAGGAAUUAUUUCGAUUUAGGAUGAAUGGCAGCAGAUUUAAUUAGCCCACCUCAUGCCUGAUGUUUUUAAAAAUUGUAUUGGGUUGGUGUGGAGAGCUAACUUUUUCACUCCUUUUGGGGGGGUGGGGUGAUGAACAAUUUUAUAGAUUGUUCAUCCUAACACUUGGCAAAAACGUUGUCAGAUACCGCACAGGUGAAUACUUUAAAGGCUGGUCCAUAUGCAUGGAUUUGAGUAGUCACAUAUUCUAGGUGUUUGUACAGGUAAGCAGCUGUAUGCCACUGACCAGUGUAGUCUCUGUCCCAUACAUUGUUCUGAGUGCACUUGAUUUUUCAGCCUGCUAUAAAUCAGGGAAUUACUAGCACAUGUGCCCUUAAACUCUGUAUGAAAUGAAUGACAUUUAAAUUGGUUUAUAGGCAUUUAACCAAUUUUAAUAACUUGUCUGCACAAGCAUCUUAUAAACCAUAUUUGUCUAUGAUUAAGGAAAACAUUUUCUUCUGUUCAGUCUCUCCAUUAUUAGCACAGUUAACGGAAAUUUAUAGGUCCCCAACUUUCAUUUGCAAGCAACAAUCCAAAUGAAGUACCUAGAGUUGUACUGAAAUAAAAUAUCCUAUGGUAG